AGAGAGUUAGUCCAAACAAGACAGUUGAUUUCGGCCCAACAGAUCAUAGCCUACCACUAUGACUCUCU
RNAcentral lists this transfer RNA (68 nucleotides) under Podargus ocellatus. Its description in RNAcentral is "tRNA-Arg". RNAcentral also lists the same sequence under 2 other names. The record is from RNAcentral. Lineage: Eukaryota; Metazoa; Chordata; Aves; Caprimulgiformes; Podargidae.